This 87-nucleotide transfer RNA is filed under the name Candidatus Daviesbacteria bacterium RIFCSPHIGHO2_01_FULL_40_11. RNAcentral describes it as "tRNA-Leu". It matches the Rfam family "tRNA". From Rfam's summary of the family: Transfer RNA (tRNA) molecules are approximately 80 nucleotides in length. Their secondary structure includes four short double-helical elements and three loops (D, anti-codon, and T loops). The record is from RNAcentral. Lineage: Bacteria; Candidatus Daviesiibacteriota.
GCCCCGAUGCUGGAAUUGGUAGACAGGCUGGCCUCAGAAGUCAGUGCCAGAAAUGGCGUGGGAGUUCGAGUCUCCCUUGGGGCACCA